Molecule: small nuclear RNA, 103 nt
Organism: Monodelphis domestica (gray short-tailed opossum)
Lineage: Eukaryota; Metazoa; Chordata; Mammalia; Didelphimorphia; Didelphidae
Source: Ensembl
GUGCUCAGUACAGCAGCAAAUAUACUAAAAAAUGAAUGAUACAAAGAUUAACAUGGCCCUUGGGAAAAAUAACACACAAAUUCAUGAGUUAUCACACAUUUUU